This 643-nucleotide ribosomal RNA is filed under the name uncultured Actinomycetes bacterium. RNAcentral describes it as "bacterial SSU rRNA". It matches the Rfam family "Bacterial small subunit ribosomal RNA", at positions 232 to 885 of the family's 1533-position model. Lineage: Bacteria; Bacillati; Actinomycetota; Actinomycetes. The record is from RNAcentral.
CGCGGCCUAUCAGCUUGUUGGUGAGGUAGUGGCUCACCAAGGCGACGACGGGUAGCCGGCCUGAGAGGGCGACCGGCCACACUGGGACUGAGACACGGCCCAGACUCCUACGGGAGGCAGCAGUGGGGAAUAUUGCACAAUGGGCGAAAGCCUGAUGCAGCGACGCCGCGUGAGGGAUGACGGCCUUCGGGUUGUAAACCUCUUUCAGCAGGGAAGAAGCGCAAGUGACGGUACCUGCAGAAGAAGCGCCGGCUAACUACGUGCCAGCAGCCGCGGUAAUACGUAGGGCGCAAGCGUUGUCCGGAAUUAUUGGGCGUAAAGAGCUCGUAGGCGGUCUGUCGCGUCGGAUGUGAAAGCCCGGGGCUUAACCCCGGGUCUGCAUUCGAUACGGGCAGACUAGAGUGUGGUAGGGGAGAUCGGAAUUCCUGGUGUAGCGGUGAAAUGCGCAGAUAUCAGGAGGAACACCGGUGGCGAAGGCGGAUCUCUGGGCCAUUACUGACGCUGAGGAGCGAAAGCGUGGGGAGCGAACAGGAUUAGAUACCCUGGUAGUCCACGCCGUAAACGGUGGGAACUAGGUGUUGGCGACAUUCCACGUCGUCGGUGCCGCAGCUAACGCACUAAGUUCCCCGCCUGGGGAGUACGG